This 370-nucleotide ribosomal RNA is filed under the name uncultured organism. RNAcentral's name for it is "bacterial SSU rRNA". It matches the Rfam family "Bacterial small subunit ribosomal RNA", at positions 526 to 896 of the family's 1533-position model. The record is from RNAcentral.
CGAACCGUGCGAACGUUGUUCGGAAUCACUGGGCUUAAAGGGCGCGUAGGCGGUUGGUCAAGUCAGGGGUGAAAUCUUUCGGCUCAACCGGAAAACUGCCUUUGAUACUGACUGGCUGGAGGGAGAUAGGGGUUGCGGGAACUACCAGUGGAGCGGUGAAAUGCGUUGAUAUUGGUAGGAACGCCGGUGGCGAAAGCGCGCAACUGGAUCUCUUCUGACGCUGAGGCGCGAAAGCUAGGGGAGCAAACGGGAUUAGAUACCCCGGUAGUCCUAGCCUUAAACGAUGAGAACUAGGUUGUGGACUUGACAUGGGUUCACAGCCGAAGCAAAAGUGCUAAGUUCUCCGCCUGGGGAUAUGGUCGCAAGGCUG